AGUAGAGAAGAAAAAUGCGCAAAUAUCCUUUGAUCAUUAGCGGGAUUCUCUAUUUCAGUCUUUGCUACAGUUAGGCAACCUAUUCUGCCUUUUCCAGCACCACUCAGUUAUAAACUUCACCUUAUAAUUAACUAAUAUAUGCACAUGAAUUAUCUUAUUAACCGGAGUAAUGCAUAAACUAUUUCAGGCAUUCUCGCUUUCAGGACUACUUUACUAUCCCUAUCCGAGAGAUGACAGCAAUCUGACAGAGUUCCAUUGUUAAACAUCAUCCAUAAAUUUUGAAUGGCAAGGAUCAAGGCGCUCAAGAAACGCAACAACCAACAGUAUACUCUGUGCCUUAAAUGAAUAACAGCUAGAUGAUUCCAUAGUAAGAAAUUUUGCGACUUCCAUCUUUCCUACCUGCCUAUGUUCAAUGUAUUGGUCAGAUAACCUUCUCCACUCACUUAAAAAACCAUUUUCAGGGACCACGCUACAGACUAAAUAUUACACUUCCUGAGUUUUUCACUAAGAAAAACUGGUGGUAUCUAGCUUGCACUAAAUGCUGCAAAAGAAAAAUUCUCGACGGAGAUGCAUAUAAGGGCAAGAAAUGCUCAGGUGUAACCGUAGGCCCAAGGUACACCAAUACUAUUAGAAGCCUUCUUCCUACUCUAUCUUUGCAGAAGCUAACCGUAGAAUAUAUAAAGCUUCCUAGAUACAAGGUUGCGGACAAUCCAUAUAUUUUAGAGCCCAAGGAGUCCAAAUAGCAAGCAUAUGUGAAAUGCCUCUUGUGGGAAAAUGCAACAGGCAACACAAACUACAGCCAACCAGAGUUAUCAGUGCCUAUUGCCGGCAAGGAAAAUGCCAUCACUGAUGUCUCCUAACUCACUAGAGUAAAGUAAUCUAAUUUUCGAUAUUGUGGGAGUUGAACAUAUCACUGACCAAACUGCUGGCGGCAGGAAAAAUAUGGGCUUCGUGCCACCGCAGAAGUAAGUGAAGAUACCAGCUUGCAAACCACCCCUCGAACAGAAGGGCAAGAAGGGGCCACAUACAGCUAAAAGCAGUUGUUAGUCGGUUUUUCAUGUGGCAGCUGGGUCAAGAGUUCGGCUCCAAAGUGUGUGGCUCCAAGGUGCUCUAUGCCGAACCCUGGGGCAAUAUUUCUAAUUAUUUUUCGACUGGGGACAGAGAUGGAAGUCUGAGUGGAGGCAAUGCAGAUCCAGUAUAUUGACUAGGAAUUUUUCUCCACUUUCCUCCACACUUAUCUUUGUUUUGUAAGUACAGAUCAUGUUAAUUAACGUGAUGUUUAUAGUCCAGAAUUUCUAAACCGAAUGAAGGGUUCUUAUUGGUAGCUGGCUGGCAAUGCUCUUGUUUCACUAGAAUAUUAAUACCAUUUUUUGUCACAGCUAAGGCCAUAUUCUAUAACUUCUAUGACCUAGCAUAGUGUUUAGCUUCUCACCAUGCUUUGUAUUUUAGAAUAUUCGCAACCUGUCAUACUUUACUAGAACUACAUUCGUAAGCAAUGGAUGCUCAUGAACUGUAAUAUCAAAUAGUGAUGAUAUCUUUGUAGAACAAAGAUAGGUGUGGCUG
This is a non-coding RNA of Lolium perenne, 1563 nucleotides long. The record is from RefSeq and is a predicted model, not a curated record. Lineage: Eukaryota; Viridiplantae; Streptophyta; Magnoliopsida; Poales; Poaceae.